GGCUCCAGCAUUAUCGGCCGAAACUAUUAAAGAAAAAAGUCCUCGGGGCCAGAUGGAUGACAAGGUGAUGGUAGUUCUCCUCGCCGUGUUCUUGGCAUCAUGCUUCCUUUCCCCUGCAAUGUGCCAAGGUGAUGUCGCAGAGAGAUCGACAGGCGGCGAUCACGGCCGGUUGCCGCCGGACAGCCAAGAGAUAACUGAGGGAAGCAAGUUCAGAUUUAGACUAUGCUUGAAAACCUUUUGUGGCGCUCACUUUAAGACCUGCUACUGCUGCCUAGUGCUGCCCAGUGCCCCUUGCUACUACACACAGCAACCGUGCUGGGACAUCUGCCCCGGUGCUGCACAACCCCUGCAACGCCUGGCCGCUGCGCCGAAGGCACUGUCUCCGGCCGAUUUUAAUUGACUGUAGAGGGAUUCUGUUUGUCAGUUUGAGUUCCCUACUGGUUGAUUUGAAUAAAAUUUCGAAGGCUGAUCUGCUUACCAAAACA
This is a long non-coding RNA of Sorghum bicolor (sorghum), 485 nucleotides long. RefSeq lists it as uncharacterized. The transcript has 2 exons. The record is from RefSeq and is a predicted model, not a curated record. Lineage: Eukaryota; Viridiplantae; Streptophyta; Magnoliopsida; Poales; Poaceae.